CUUUAUUACGAUCCCUUCGGGGUGACGAUUUUGUGACUUAGUGGCGGACGGGUGAGUAACGCGUGGGUAACCUGCCCCAUACCGGGGGACAACAGUUGGAAACGGCUGCUAAUACCGCAUAAGCGCACAGCAUCGCAUGGUGCAGUGUGAAAAACUCCGGUGGUAUGGGAUGGACCCGCGUCUGAUUAGCUAGUUGGUGGGGUAACGGCCUACCAAGGCAACGAUCAGUAGCCGGCCUGAGAGGGUGAACGGCCACAUUGGGACUGAGACACGGCCCAGACUCCUACGGGAGGCAGCAGUGGGGAAUAUUGCACAAUGGGCGAAAGCCUGAUGCAGCGACGCCGCGUGAGUGAUGAAGUAUUUCGGUAUGUAAAGCUCUAUCAGCAGGGAAGAAAAUGACGGUACCUGACUAAGAAGCACCGGCUAAAUACGUGCCAGCAGCCGCGGUAAUACGUAUGGUGCAAGCGUUAUCCGGAUUUACUGGGUGUAAAGGGAGCGUAGGCGGCAUGGCAAGUCAGAUGUGAAAGCCCGGGGCCCAACCCCGGAACUGCAUUUGAAACUGUCAGGCUAGAGUACCGGUGAGGUAAGCGGAAUUCCUAGUGUAGCGGUGAAAUGCGUAGAUAUUAGGAGGAACACCAGUGGCG
RNAcentral lists this ribosomal RNA (644 nucleotides) under uncultured bacterium. RNAcentral describes it as "bacterial SSU rRNA". It matches the Rfam family "Bacterial small subunit ribosomal RNA", at positions 67 to 717 of the family's 1533-position model. The record is from RNAcentral.